UGCCAUUUAUGAACCUUUUACUGUAUUUAAACAGCAAUUACUGAAAACAACGAUUCAUAAAAUAGUUUGUAAGC
Molecule: long non-coding RNA, 74 nt
Organism: Maniola jurtina (meadow brown)
Lineage: Eukaryota; Metazoa; Arthropoda; Insecta; Lepidoptera; Nymphalidae
Exons: 3
Source: RefSeq, a predicted model, not a curated record